Molecule: ribosomal RNA, 497 nt
Filed under: uncultured bacterium
Lineage: Bacteria
Description: partial 16S ribosomal RNA
Rfam family: Bacterial small subunit ribosomal RNA
Source: RNAcentral
GAUGAACGCUGGCGGCGUGCCUAAUACAUGCAAGUCGAGCGAACAGACGAGGAGCUUGCUCCUCUGACGUUAGCGGCGGACGGGUGAGUAACACGUGGAUAACCUACCUAUAAGACUGGGAUAACUUCGGGAAACCGGAGCUAAUACCGGAUAAUAUAUUGAACCGCAUGGUUCAAUAGUGAAAGACGGUUUUGCUGUCACUUAUAGAUGGAUCCGCGCCGCAUUAGCUAGUUGGUAAGGUAACGGCUUACCAAGGCAACGAUGCGUAGCCGACCUGAGAGGGUGAUCGGCCACACUGGAACUGAGACACGGUCCAGACUCCUACGGGAGGCAGCAGUAGGGAAUCUUACGCAAUGGGCGAAAGCCUGACGGAGCAACGCCGAGUGAGUGAUGAAGGUCUUCGGAUCGUAAAACUCUGUUAUUAGGGAAGAACAAAUGUGUACGUAACUAUGCACGUCUUGACGGUACCUAAUCAGAAAGCCACGGCUAACUACGUG